UAUUAUUUUUAUUGUAAAUUUAAAAGUUAAAGUAUUAGUAGUUAUGAUCUUGAAACUUAAAGAAUUUGGCGGUAUUAUAGUCUAUUUAGAGGAAUCUGUUAUGUAAUUGAUAAUCCACAAUGAACCUUACUUAUAUUAUUUUUUUUGUAUAUCGCUGUUUAAGAAAAUAUUUUUAAAUAAUUUUCUAAUUAUUAUAUUAAAUAAUAUUUCAAGUCAAGGUGCAGUAAUAUAUAAGUUGAAUAAUGGAUUACAAUAAAUUGUAUUUAUUAUGGAUUAUUAUUGAAAUAUAAUUWGAAGGUGGAUUUAAWUGWAAUUUUAUAAAGAAACUUUAAARUUUAAUUUU
This 343-nucleotide ribosomal RNA is filed under the name Anaxarcha intermedia. RNAcentral describes it as "partial 12S ribosomal RNA". The record is from RNAcentral. Lineage: Eukaryota; Metazoa; Arthropoda; Insecta; Mantodea; Hymenopodidae.